This 278-nucleotide unclassified non-coding RNA is filed under the name Hevea brasiliensis (rubber tree). The record is from RNAcentral. Lineage: Eukaryota; Viridiplantae; Streptophyta; Magnoliopsida; Malpighiales; Euphorbiaceae.
GAGUGAAUAUUUUCAUAUUUUAAGCGUCUUUCAAGCUUGGGAAAAGUUAGCUUACAAUAGCUGAAUGAUGAAAUCAAGCGCGUCGAAGGUGAAAUUUCUGAUUACAAGAAACAUAAAUUCUGAGCAGAAUCUUGACUAAUGGUUCAGGCAAUACACUUCUAAAAGUGAAGGUGCCUAUCGAAGAAUGAUUUUUUUAUUUUUUUUAGUAACCUGUAUUUAUGUAAUUUCUCGUAUCUCAAUUCACCCCAAGUCAAACUCUCAUUGUCUAUAAGGGUUAG